UAGCUAGUUGGUAGGGUAAAGGCCUACCAAGGCGACGAUCGUUAGCUGGUCUGAGAGGAUGACCAGCCACACUGGAACUGAGACACGGUCCAGACUCCUACGGGAGGCAGCAGUGGGGAAUAUUGGACAAUGGGGGCAACCCUGAUCCAGCAAUGCCGCGUGUGUGAAGAAGGCCUGAGGGUUGUAAAGCACUUUCAGUGGGGAGGAGGGUUUGUAGGUUAAGAGCUAGCAAACUGGACGUUACCCACAGAAGAAGCACCGGCUAACUCCGUGCCAGCAGCCGCGGUAAUACGGAGGGUGCGAGCGUUAAUCGGAAUUACUGGGCGUAAAGGGUGCGUAGGUGGUUAAUUAAGUUAUCUGUGAAAUCCCCGGGCUUAACCUGGGCAGGUCAGAUAAAACUGAUUAACUCGAGUAUGGGAGAGGGUAGUGGAAUUUCCGGUGUAGCGGUGAAAUGCGUAGAUAUCGGAAGGAACACCAGUGGCGAAGGCGGCUACCUGGCCUAAUACUGACACUGAGGCACGAAAGCGUGGGGAGCAAACAGGAUUAGAUACCCUGGUAGUCCACGCCGUAAACGAUGUCAACUAGCUGUUGGUCAUAUGAAGAUGAUUAGUGGCGA
This 616-nucleotide ribosomal RNA is filed under the name uncultured Legionella sp. RNAcentral describes it as "bacterial SSU rRNA". It matches the Rfam family "Bacterial small subunit ribosomal RNA", at positions 242 to 849 of the family's 1533-position model. Lineage: Bacteria; Pseudomonadati; Pseudomonadota; Gammaproteobacteria; Legionellales; Legionellaceae. The record is from RNAcentral.